CGGUAAGGUGAUAUGAACCGUUAUAACCGGCGAUGUCCGAAUGGGGAAACCCAGUGUGACUCGUCACACUAUCAUUAACUGAAUCCAUAGGUUAAUGAGGCGAACCGGGGGAACUGAAACAUCUAAGUACCCCGAGGAAAAGAAAUCAACCGAGAUUCCCCCAGUAGCGGCGAGCGAACGGGGAGGAGCCCAGAGCCUGAAUCAGCAUGUGUGUUAGUGGAAGCGUCUGGAAAGGCGCGCGAUACAGGGUGACAGCCCCGUACACAAAAGCGCAUGUGCUGUGAGCUCGAUGAGUAGGGCGGGACACGUGGUAUCCUGUCUGAAUAUGGGGGGACCAUCCUCCAAGGCUAAAUACUCCUGACUGACCGAUAGUGAACCAGUACCGUGAGGGAAAGGCGAAAAGAACCCCGGCGAGGGGAGUGAAACAGAACCUGAAACCGUGUACGUACAAGCAGUGGGAGC
Molecule: ribosomal RNA, 462 nt
Filed under: Salmonella enterica subsp. arizonae serovar 18:z4,z23:- str. CVM 32457
Lineage: Bacteria; Pseudomonadati; Pseudomonadota; Gammaproteobacteria; Enterobacterales; Enterobacteriaceae
Also listed under: 8 other names
Description: bacterial LSU rRNA
Rfam family: Bacterial large subunit ribosomal RNA
Source: RNAcentral